CUCGCUCUGUCACCCAGGCUGGAGUGCAAUGGCGCGAUAUCAGCUCACAGCAACUUCUGCCUCUCGGACUCAAGUGAUUCUCCUGCCUCAGCCUCCCUGAGUAGCCGUGAUUACAGGCGCCCGCCACCAAGCCGGGUAAUUUUUUUGUAUUUUUAGGAGAGACGGUGUUUCACCAUGUUGCCCAAGCUAGUCUCAAAGCCCUGACCUCAAUCCACCUCCUCCUCUGAAAGUGCUGGGAUUAUGGGCAUGAGCGACCACGCUCUGCCAACAACCCUUUAUUUUGGAUAAUAAUAAUACUACACGAGAUGGAAGACUUCUAAUGUGUCAGAAUUUAAGCUGGAAAAGGUUGGGCAGCUUAUUGUUGUCAAAUCAUAUAUGCAUGAAUAGAAACUAAAGAAGAAUAUAUCUCGGCAAGAAGGACUUCAGUGCUAAUUAGCAAGGUAGAGACAACUUAAGAUUUUACACUUGGUUUCCAUUUUCAAGACAACCUUAAUGCUCUGACCGAUUCCGGCUUGGAAAAGCUCUGCUUUACUUGUCAGAUUGAAAAAAAUGUUUUCUUAAAAAUACCUUUGUAUGUUUUAUAUUAAAAUAAUUGCACUAAAAUUGAUUAAUCAGAUAUCAAAUAUCAUACGUAGAAUAGUAAUGACAUAGCAUAGAGAAGACAAAAAUUGGGUUUCCAUAAAGAUAAUGAGUCAUGCCAUAGAUUAUGACCAAAAGUACACUAUGGAAUAGUAAUUUGUCAGCAUUGCAUAUGUUAGUAAAAAGCAAAUAACUUGGGGAUGGAUGAUGCUACUUUUGAGGUUAUGCAUGAAGCUGAGGAUAAACAGAGCUUUCAAGGAAUGGAAAUAGAGAAUAAAGAAAAAGUCCAUGUAGUUUGUAGUAGAAAGAUUGUGAACAUGACCAGAUUCUUAACCCUUUUUAUAUGCACUCUAUUGCAAUAUGAAUUUGUUCCUUCUUCAUUAAGAAAUAAAUCCAUUUCCCCAAUUCCUGAAUUUGAGCUGGCUUUGUAUCUUGCAACAGAAGUGAGGGUAUAUGAGUUACAAACCAAAGCCUCAGUAGGUCUUGUGUGCAUUCAGUCACACUUUUAUAAUGCUGCCCCUAAUAUGUGGACAAGCUUGGGGUGAAGGAGGAAAGACCACAUGGGGCAUAGUCAGCCAAAAUGGCCAAGUCCAGUGUCCAGAGAUGUGAAAGAUUCCAAUCAAGAAGACAGGAACGCCAGCCCUCGGCCAACCCAUCAGUUGACCAUAAAUGCAUAAUCAAGCACAGAUGAGAACAGUUGAGCCCAACCUGGAAUAGAAAAAUAAUGGCUCAGAGAACCUACAGACUAGUAAGCUAAUAAAUGUUUAUUGUUUAAUUGUUUGUUACAUAGCAUUAUUAUUGCAAUAGAUAACUGGCACAAUAGUAAAAUAGCCCUGAAAGUUGAGUUACCUUAAGUAUUUUAGCUCUGUUAUCAACAAAUACGGUGAAUAUAAAUGAAUAACACAGCUUCUGUUUCUCUCUUUUCAAAAUUGCAAAAUAAAAG
RNAcentral lists this long non-coding RNA (1522 nucleotides) under Homo sapiens (human). RNAcentral's name for it is "HSALNT0057881". Lineage: Eukaryota; Metazoa; Chordata; Mammalia; Primates; Hominidae. The record is from RNAcentral.